Molecule: ribosomal RNA, 1289 nt
Filed under: uncultured bacterium
Lineage: Bacteria
Description: bacterial SSU rRNA
Rfam family: Bacterial small subunit ribosomal RNA
Source: RNAcentral
AUUGAACGCUGGCGGCAUGCCUUACACAUGCAAGUCGAACGGCAGCACGGAGCUUGCUCUGGUGGCGAGUGGCGAACGGGUGAGUAAUAUAUCGGAACGUACCCUAGAGUGGGGGAUAACGUAGCGAAAGUUACGCUAAUACCGCAUACGAUCUAAGGAUGAAAGUGGGGGAUCGCAAGACCUCAUGCUCGUGGAGCGGCCGAUAUCUGAUUAGCUAGUUGGUAGGGUAAAAGCCUACCAAGGCAUCGAUCAGUAGCUGGUCUGAGAGGACGACCAGCCACACUGGAACUGAGACACGGUCCAGACUCCUACGGGAGGCAGCAGUGGGGAAUUUUGGACAAUGGGCGAAAGCCUGAUCCAGCAAUGCCGCGUGAGUGAAGAAGGCCUUCGGGUUGUAAAGCUCUUUUGUCAGGGAAGAAACGGUGAGAGCUAAUAUCUCUUGCUAAUGACGGUACCUGAAGAAUAAGCACCGGCUAACUACGUGCCAGCAGCCGCGGUAAUACGUAGGGUGCAAGCGUUAAUCGGAAUUACUGGGCGUAAAGCGUGCGCAGGCGGUUUUGUAAGUCUGAUGUGAAAUCCCCGGGCUCAACCUGGGAAUUGCAUUGGAGACUGCAAGGCUAGAAUCUGGCAGAGGGGGGUAGAAUUCCACGUGUAGCAGUGAAAUGCGUAGAUAUGUGGAGGAACACCGAUGGCGAAGGCAGCCCCCUGGGUCAAGAUUGACGCUCAUGCACGAAAGCGUGGGGAGCAAACAGGAUUAGAUACCCUGGUAGUCCACGCCCUAAACGAUGUCUACUAGUUGUCGGGUCUUAAUUGACUUGGUAACGCAGCUAACGCGUGAAGUAGACCGCCUGGGGAGUACGGUCGCAAGAUUAAAACUCAAAGGAAUUGACGGGGACCCGCACAAGCGGUGGAUGAUGUGGAUUAAUUCGAUGCAACGCGAAAAACCUUACCUACCCUUGACAUGGCUGGAAUCCUCGAGAGAUUGAGGAGUGCUCGAAAGAGAACCAGUACACAGGUGCUGCAUGGCUGUCGUCAGCUCGUGUCGUGAGAUGUUGGGUUAAGUCCCGCAACGAGCGCAACCCUUGUCAUUAGUUGCUACGAAAGGGCACUCUAAUGAGACUGCCGGUGACAAACCGGAGGAAGGUGGGGAUGACGUCAAGUCCUCAUGGCCCUUAUGGGUAGGGCUUCACACGUCAUACAAUGGUACAUACAGAGCGCCGCCAACCCGCGAGGGGGAGCUAAUCGCAGAAAGUGUAUCGUAGUCCGGAUUGUAGUCUGCAACUCGACUG